This 468-nucleotide ribosomal RNA is filed under the name uncultured bacterium. Its description in RNAcentral is "partial 16S ribosomal RNA". It matches the Rfam family "Bacterial small subunit ribosomal RNA", at positions 28 to 507 of the family's 1533-position model. The record is from RNAcentral.
GACGAACGCUGGCGGCGUGCUUAACACGUGCAAGUCGAACGGAAAGGCCCUGCUUUUGUGGGGUGCUCGAGUGGCGAACGGGUGAGUAACACGUGAGUAACCUGCCCUUGACUUUGGGAUAACUUCAGGAAACUGGGGCUAAUACCGGAUAGGAGCUCCUGCUGCAUGGUGGGGGUUGGAAAGUUUCGGCGGUUGGGGAUGGACUCGCGGCUUAUCAGCUUGUUGGUGGGGUAGUGGCUUACCAAGGCUUUGACGGGUAGCCGGCCUGAGAGGGUGACCGGCCACAAUGGGACUGAGAUACGGCCCAGACUCCUACGGGAGGCAGCAGUGGGGAAUAUUGCACAAUGGGCGGAAGCCUGAUGCAGCAACGCCGCGUGCGGGAUGACGGCCUUCGGGUUGUAAACCGCUUUCGCCUGUGACGAAGCGUGAGUGACGGUAAUGGGUAAAGAAGCACCGGCUAACUACGUG